This 1457-nucleotide long non-coding RNA is filed under the name Vulpes vulpes (red fox). Its description in RNAcentral is "lncRNA (ENSVVUG00000003326.1)". The record is from RNAcentral. Lineage: Eukaryota; Metazoa; Chordata; Mammalia; Carnivora; Canidae.
GAAACUGAGGUCUGGAAAGGGACUUGCCCUGUCAUCAGUUAAAUUUUUUUUUUUUAAUGACUCAGGGUUAUCAUGAUGGCAAAUAAUUCCUCAAUCUAAUGGUCCUUUGCUUUCACCAUAAUAUUAAUGAGCCAUUCUUCUUAAAAAAUGACUCACCAAGAGCAGAGCAGACUGACCAGCAGCUUUUGGGACUGCACUGAAACCUUCCCACUCCAACCACAGCCAAUUUAUAACCAGUCUGUGCUACAGACCACUCACACUUGGUCCUGACCCAAGAGGAGCCUUGCCCCAAUCAGAAUGGAAUAACCAGCUGGGAAAACUCAGGCUAAACAGAGAUGAAACAAGGAAAAGGAGCUUGGAUGAUUUGGAACACAAGCAUCCUGAAUACCAAUCCUUUAUGAAUCCCAAAUUGCCAGGCAUUCCUUUGAUUUUGAAACUCAAAGGUGGGGAGAUUGAAAACAGGAGUCCUUUCCUUCUGGAAAUGCAUUGUCUCUUUAUUCUGCUGUGGUGCAUCAGAGAUGGUGAGUUUUGUGAAUGUGGAAAAGGAGAGACAGAAAGGUUUGUGUAUUGCCUGUAAAAGGAGUUCCAACUCCUCUCUAAUAAUCAACCAAGGGAAAUGCUGGAAAUAUUCCUGAUUUCCUGGAUUCAUUGCUUCCAACCCUCAGGAUACAAAGUGCCUAGAUGUGAACAAGUAGAAUGAGCCUUUGGCUGGACCGUCCUGGCCUGCCACUCACUGUGGCAGGGAGGAAUCAGGACUGGUGCAACCUCAGGCAGGAGCUGAGAUUCCCUGUUCUUUGGGCCACUAGUUUGGGUUGGGGAAGAUGGGAAGGGAACAGCCAGGUAAAGCAGUUCAAAAAUUCUUAAGCAGGGAGGAAGGCAGGAAGCAAGGUGGCACUAUGAUCUAGUGGUGCUGCUCAAACUUUAAUGUGCAUAUAAAUUACUUGGGGAUCUGCUAAAUUGAGAUUUUGAUCCAGUAGACUUAAAGUGGGGCCUAAGAUUCUGCAUUUCUACCUAGCUCACAGGUAGUGCUGAUGCUGCUGGUCCAUGGAGCAGUAAAGCUCUUAAAGAAACUGAAGCCUCAGAGGCCCCAGAAUGUUGCAGACCAAGCCAUGAUCCCAGGAUGUGAAUUCUCUCCAGCAGAGCAGAUCCUGUAUUUUUGGCAUUGAUGAAGGGUGCUCUCCAUCUGACCAAAGAAAGCUGGAAGGUGGGCAAUUAGCAAGAUCCUUCUGGUAUUCUUGAUCUUUGUAACAACCUGCUAUAGCUGAAAGAGCAUUUUUAAUUAGACCAAAUUAUCUAGUUUGGCUGUCCAUAGAAAUCAAAGCCCCAGCUGAAAUGUCUGUUUCAUUUUGUUGGUGUAGAGAUGGCUAUGUGCUGGGAUUUUUAAGAAGUUAAGCACUGCCUACCGGCAUAUUUUAUGGAGAAAUAAACACACAGCCCAAUGAGAUGUAUGGUGUGCU